GGAGACCUAAGGACUUGCCUUCAACCAAGACCCGACCCAGCGGGUCCACACUUGAAGGAGAAGAAAUCGGGCCGAUCGCACAGCUUAGUACAUUCGUCAUGAUAGCAAGCCCAGCAACAGUCAUGGGCUCAACUAAGGAGAGACCCAAUUGGGCCGUAGAGCACUAAGGCCCAAAGGCCGCGCGCACGUGGGCGGGCUUCCCUAGCCCGCACGGGUGAGGUGGCAAGCUUUUUGGACUUCUUUUCACCACAUGCUCCAUGUGAUCUUUAAUCCCAAAUUCAGCAAAUUUACAUGGUAACUAUCCUUUAUUAU
Molecule: long non-coding RNA, 312 nt
Filed under: Carica papaya (papaya)
Lineage: Eukaryota; Viridiplantae; Streptophyta; Magnoliopsida; Brassicales; Caricaceae
Description: long non-coding RNA (CPAP_LNC009271)
Source: RNAcentral